RNAcentral lists this ribosomal RNA (253 nucleotides) under uncultured bacterium. Its description in RNAcentral is "partial 16S ribosomal RNA". It matches the Rfam family "Bacterial small subunit ribosomal RNA", at positions 524 to 776 of the family's 1533-position model. The record is from RNAcentral.
GACGUAGGGAGCAAGCGUUGUCCGGAUUUACUGGGCGUAAAGGACGUGUAGGCGGUUUGCUAAGUAAGAAGUGAAAUCUCUGGGCUCAACCCAGAAACUGCUUCUUAUACUGGUGAACUAGAGGAAUGUAGAGGUAGAUGGAAUUCCAGGUGUAGCGGUGGCAUGCAUUGAUAUCUGGAGGAACACCAACGGCGAAGGCAGUCUACUGGGCAUUUCCUGACGCUGAGGCGUGAAAGCGUGGGGAGCAAACAGA